Molecule: unclassified non-coding RNA, 204 nt
Filed under: Hevea brasiliensis (rubber tree)
Lineage: Eukaryota; Viridiplantae; Streptophyta; Magnoliopsida; Malpighiales; Euphorbiaceae
Source: RNAcentral
GAGAUUGUUUCGUGGUGACGAGGAGCUGAACGCACUGGGCUGGAAGAAUUCCUUCAGCCAAGGGAUUGGCAUCACUGCGCCCAAAGCAAGAACGCGUGACAAACCUUUGAGUACUAGGGUCUUGUUUUGUCUCUAAUUUUGGGUCUUUUCGGGACGAGAAUUGGUGUUUGAUUUCAGUAUUUGAGAACAAUAAACAUUGAAACC